CCAAACUGUUGCCUCGGCGGGAUCUCUGCCCCGGGUGCGUCGCAGCCCCGGACCAAGGCGCCCGCCGGAGGACCAACCAAAACUCUUUUUGUAUACCCCCUCGCGGGUUUUUUAUAAUCUGAGCCUUCUCGGCGCCUCUCGUAGGCGUUUCGAAAAUGAAUCAAAACUUUCAACAACGGAUCUCUUGGUUCUGGCAUCGAUGAAGAACGCAGCGAAAUGCGAUAAGUAAUGUGAAUUGCAGAAUUCAGUGAAUCAUCGAAUCUUUGAACGCACAUUGCGCCCGCCAGUAUUCUGGCGGGCAUGCCUGUCCGAGCGUCAUUUCAACCCUCGAACCCCUCCGGGGGGUCGGCGUUGGGGAUCGGCCCUCCCUUAGCGGGUGGCCGUCUCCGAAAUACAGUGGCGGUCUCGCCGCAGCCUCUCCUGCGCAGUAGUUUGCACACUCGCAUCGGGAGCGCGGCGCGUCCACAGCCGUUAAACACCCAACUUCUGAAAUGUUGACCUCGGAU
Molecule: ribosomal RNA, 506 nt
Filed under: Trichoderma sp. FLS-2010
Lineage: Eukaryota; Fungi; Ascomycota; Sordariomycetes; Hypocreales; Hypocreaceae
Description: eukaryotic LSU rRNA
Rfam family: 5.8S ribosomal RNA (bases 165-318)
Source: RNAcentral